Anguilla anguilla (European eel) is the source of this 2528-nucleotide long non-coding RNA. RefSeq lists it as uncharacterized. The transcript is spliced from 2 exons. The record is from RefSeq and is a predicted model, not a curated record. Lineage: Eukaryota; Metazoa; Chordata; Actinopteri; Anguilliformes; Anguillidae.
ACACCACUAAGUCCUUCUGAUUUGCGUAGCAUGGUUCGGGAAUUACCCGAUCUCAAAAGAGAUGACCCGAACAUGGCGUUUUGGGAGAAAAUAGCACAGUACAUGACGGUGGGGGGAUUACAUGCUUUCGACGUUUAUGUGUUAACAAAGGCAAAAUGUCCAAGUGCUGUAUGGAGCGAGUUAGGGGAAUUUAAUAACUCUGCAUGGGCAUCUGUCCGCUUCACAUCCACGCUUGAGAUGGAAGAAGCAGUGGAAAAGUUCAGGAAGACCGUUUAUAAAGCUCUAGGUACAGGUUCCAAUCUGUAUUCAUUAUAUCUUACCCGCCAACAACGCGAAGAUGAACCUUUUGAUAGGUAUAUUGACGAGAAAUACAGUUUGUACUCCACAUAUGGUAAUGCAGGUGACAAUCCAAGUAAAGAUAACCCCGAUUUCCUGAUGAAUGUACUCGAGGGAAGUGUAGCUUUAUACCGAGACACAGCGGGUAAGGCUGGUUUUCGACCGAAGGAUUGUAGCGACUUAAUUUCGUGGGCUGCAUGUUUAAAUAAAUACCAUAGUGGUGUAAACAAGGGGGGCGCAAGAUCAGGUCUGAGGUCACAUUCUCACAAUAAAGCACCCCUCCACAUGGCUCCGGUACAGGAGAUAGCUCCUUGCAGCAACUGUGGGAGAUCAGGGCAUAGCCAGGCGGACUGUCACAGAGGGAGAAGGACCCAAUGUAAGAUCUGUCACAAAUAUGGACACGUUGCCCAGGCAUGCAGAUCUGGGAAUAACCAGUCAGAACGAGGUAGCCAGCUCCAAGACAUGUCAAAAGACGAACUCGUUAGAUUAAUUAAAUCGCUUGAAACCUCAGAAUAGGAUACGUCGGCCCCCAUUGCAUCAGGUGUUGAGGUUUCGUUCUAAUAGCAUAAGGACGUGGACACCAUAAGUCCCUAAAUAUUCUUAAUUUAUGAGCCCAAGAUAAGGGAGUAACAGUAAAUAAAUAAAUAAAUAAAUAAGGGUUAUGAGCCCAAGAUAAGGGAGUAACAGUAAAUAAAUAAAUAAAUAAAUAAGGUAGCACACAUAUGAUUGACCCCUAGUGGCACAUCCUAACACCAUCCUUUCCACAGUUUCUCAUGUAAAAUACACGCUGAGCAAUGUUGGCUUCAAGCUGACACUGAGGAUGAGACUGGGUGACGCAGCCACCAGCCGUGCUCCUCUCCGUGAAAGCGGGACUGAGUAAUUAACACUGAGUAAUUAACAUUUGCUUUCACCCUUUGAAAUUCCUACAGGUUGACCCAUGAGGACUCCUGGUGGUUAGUGUAUUGGUGGGAAAUUGCACGUAAUGGGUGACCGUUUAGGUAAAUAUUGCAGGCUUUUGUCCUAAGUGUGUUUCACAGGAUCACAGAACUGGACUUGACCCGGCUGAGGACAAAGAAAUGCCUGGUUGAACCUGGAGACAAGGUCCUGGUGAAAAACAUAAUCGGCAAAAUUUGGUCUGGACCACACAGGCUCACAAUUCCAUCAGCUGUUUCCAGUGACUGGAACUCCGGUGUGGUUCCAUUACAUUACAUUACAUUACAGGCAUUUCCGCAUUCAAUAGUUAAGGAAAUACAAGGGUGAGACCCAACAUGGGGCACAAUAAUCCCCGUCUACCCUUAUAGCCCCUGGGGGCUAUCUCUCUUUCCGUGUCUCCAAUCAGACACGUUUCCAGGACAAGAAUGUGCACCAACCUUGCAAGCUGCAGUUGGAUUUGGGAUGACUUCACAGCGACAUCUUCAUCAUUAUGUUGUCAUGUUGGAUAUUUUUGUCAUUGUAUUGUAAUGUUGUAUAUAGUCUGAGAGUGUGGGUUGAUACAGGAAUAGGUUGGGAGGAGGCAAUUAAAAUAUUGGAAAAGUUUUAUAUUAAUUAGGAUAAAAAGGUUGCAGGACUGGAGGAAGAUGGUUGUCCCACUCGGAAGGCCAUAUACGGAUAUGCCCUUCAGCUAAGAGGUGAGGCACAUGCAGCCCUCCAGAGAAGCCUGGCACAUGCCCUAAAUUGUAUAAAGCCUGGCACAUGCCCUAAAUUGUAUAGUGGACCUAAAAUUUUGAAUUGCUCUGAAAGAGAGCCUCUGCCUGCCCGAGUGACUGUAUCCAUCAGACACUCUCACAUAAUCAUUCAUCACUGGUGUAAAAUGCUUCAGGUUAGGUUAGGUUUUCUUUGUAACAAAAUUAUAUAUAUUAGAUACAAUUAGGAAACAUAAGGAUAUCGCAUGAUGGGAGGGAGCCACUGGGUCCACAGCAAAUGCCAUUUUUGGUUAUAAAAUAAAUGUUAAUAAUUGAGAUUUGGCUGAAACCUGUUAGCAACAGGCACAAUAUUGGUGACAAAAGGAGGACUACUUUCUAACCAAACUACUGCCUAACACUUCCAACUGCACUAAUCCAACUGACACUCCUACCACUAUCAGCUCUAUUCUGGUCACUCCUGAUGUCACCACUAACAUCUCUGUCCCAGCACUUGAUAGCUGGGUGUAGAACCCUAACACCACAAUGCAGAUAAAAGGUAACAACUGUGAC